GGGGACACUUCCUGGAGCAGCCCUAAGGUCUGGGAUGCUGGGGCUUGGGAAGCGCCCUGAAAACUCUGCAGGUGUAGAGCUUCCCUCUAACAAUGGAUCCAAGCAGUGUCCAGAAAUAGACUCAAGUACCCCUGGGAAAUGAGCAUGUGAUGGUGGGACCUUCCAAGUCCAGAGGGAAGGUGGCUCCGCGGGUGACAUGAGAACAACGGUCAGGCAUCUGAAUGAGGCUGCUGUAAAAGGUUCUAGUGUUUAAACAUAAAACUUACCCUACUAAAGCACUAGAAGAAAAAUGAGCACGGAUUUUAAAGUCUUGGACUGGAAAAGUCUCUAAAAAUAAUGCAGGAAACUAGAAACCAGGGAAACUUCAUUAAGUAAACAUUUAAAAUGUUUGCUGUAUGAAAAAUAAUCUAAUAAACAAAGUUCCAAAUAGUGAAAAACCAGGAAAGAUCUACAACCUAUUUGAGAUAAUUUCCCUAAUAAAAUAAUAAACACAAAACCUUCAUGGAUCAAAAGAUAUAAAUGGUUCACAAAUAUAUUAAAUGAUGUUUAACCUCCCUUGCCAUUAAGAAAAUGCGAAUUAAAUAUGAUGGUACCACCAUGAAAUGAUGAAUGAGGUCACUUUUCAACUCUCAUGCGCAAAAUUUAAAAUCGCACCCAUAAAUAGCCAGAAUGUGGAAAGACUGGUAGGCCAUACAUUGUUGGUAGAAUAAACUGGAGCAGCAUUUGGGGGGAGAUUUGUCAGCAGAACUCAAAAUUUUUAAUGUACGUGACCUUUGACCCAGCUUUCCGUCAUUUACAAACAUGUUUCCAAAGAUACACAAAAGAGCCACUUGCAGCAUCACUUGUUAAGCAAAGCAAGCACCAAGGAAAAACUCUGGAAAGCCUAUUAAAGGGCUAAUUUAAAUAAAUCAUGCUACCGUCAUGCAGUAAGAUACUACACACCCACUAAAAAUGCCUGAUCUCAUCUGUAAGAUCCCCAAGGCAUAAAAGUGAAAAAUGUAAAGUGUAGCAGGAUCCUAACUUGGUCUUAUUUGUUUUUAAUAUUACAGAAUAUUCAUAUAUAUUCUUCAUAUAUGCAAAUCUGAGGAUGUGAGAAUCUGCUAAUGAUUUCUCCUAAUGAGUAGAACUGGUGGGUGGGAGAUAGUUUUGGUUUUCUCUUUAUUUAUUUAUUUAUUUAUUAGCACAAUACAUAGACUUUAUUCAGAUUAUAUCAGUUUAAAAUGAACUCAUGUGUGUGUGAAAUCUAUAUAAUUU
RNAcentral lists this long non-coding RNA (1254 nucleotides) under Marmota monax (woodchuck). Lineage: Eukaryota; Metazoa; Chordata; Mammalia; Rodentia; Sciuridae. The record is from RNAcentral.